AUUUUUGUUAACUUCGCUUUUCUGUCAUCUUUAACUGGAUUUGAUUAAUAAUUCAAUUAGUUGAAAAUGGGAUUUGGUUCACUUCCAUUAACCGGCAUAGGGAGGUAGCAAUGGAGCAUUCACGUUUCAUACACAGGAGGCAGCUGGACAAUGAUCCCCAAUGUACCAUUCCAUAAUAACUCCCCUGCUCACUCAACUCAGGAACAAUUUUACCUCCACCAACAAUCCCAACAGCAGCAAUAAUUCAAUCAAUUCCAACAACAGCAGCAGCAGCAGAAUCAGCGUCACCAGUCGCUCGCCUCUCACUUCCACCUCUUGCACCUGGUUGAGAAUUUAACUGAAGUUAUUGAGAAUGGAACUCGGCAUCAGCACUCCGAUGCUUUGAUUUUAUUUAAAUAUUUUUGGAAAGAUUACUGAGUUGAACAUAUCACUUUGAGAAGUGCCAGCAGU
Molecule: unclassified non-coding RNA, 450 nt
Filed under: Hevea brasiliensis (rubber tree)
Lineage: Eukaryota; Viridiplantae; Streptophyta; Magnoliopsida; Malpighiales; Euphorbiaceae
Source: RNAcentral